CAUCGCUCCUCGAUGAAACUACAUGAGGAGUCCUGCCUGCCCAGUGACUAAAGUUAAACGGCCGCGGUAUCUUGACCGUGCAAAGGUAGCAUAAUCACUUGUCUCCUAAAUAGAGACUGGUAUGAAUGGCAAGACGGAGCUAAACUGUCUCUUUUUUUAAUCUUGAAAUUUACUUCCCCGUGAAGAGGCGUGGAUAAAAUCGCUAGACGAGAAGACCCUGUCGAGCUUAAAGCAAAAAAGAGGACAUCUUUAUAGUUAGACAAUACUAAUCUAUGUAAUUACAAAAGUUUAACUUUAACGUUUCUCUACAGAGCUUUGGUUGGGGCAACCGCGGAAAAAGAAAAACUUCCGCUUACAAAUAAUUAAAUAAAGGAAAACAAUCCUGUUAUCAGAAAUGAGAAUAGAUCCACUUAGGUGAUCAAAGGAACAAGUUACCGCAGGGAUAACAGCGUUAUCUUUUUUGAGAGUUCACAUUGACAAAAAGGUUUGCGACCUCGAUGUUGGAUCGGGACAUCCUAAGGGUGCAGAAGCUCUUAAGGGUUGGUCUGUUCGACCAUUAAAGUCCUAC
RNAcentral lists this ribosomal RNA (568 nucleotides) under Temnopleurus hardwickii. Its description in RNAcentral is "partial 16S ribosomal RNA". It matches the Rfam family "Bacterial large subunit ribosomal RNA", at positions 1814 to 2599 of the family's 2925-position model. The record is from RNAcentral. RNAcentral also lists the same sequence under 1 other name. Lineage: Eukaryota; Metazoa; Echinodermata; Echinoidea; Temnopleuroida; Temnopleuridae.